Molecule: long non-coding RNA, 1509 nt
Filed under: Macaca fascicularis (crab-eating macaque)
Lineage: Eukaryota; Metazoa; Chordata; Mammalia; Primates; Cercopithecidae
Description: lncRNA (ENSMFAG00000062301.1)
Source: RNAcentral
GUAGGACAGCAGACUUCAUAAUGCUUUGGUGGUUAUUUUCCUCCUCUCUGCUAAAAUACACAAGUUCUAACCUAGUAUCGUGCAGUUUACACACACAUACAUAAAGAUGUCCCCACAACUAAAAACUUUAAUGUUUUACUUCAUCACAAAUUUUUAUAUAAUUUUUUUUUUUUAACAGACAGGGUCUCACUGUGUCACCCAGGCUAGAGUGCAGUGGUGCAAUCAUAGCUCAGUGUCACCUCAAACACCUGAACUCAAGCGAUCCUCCCACCUCAGCCUCCUGAGUAGCUGGGACCUCAGGCACAUGCCACCAUGCCUGGCUAAUUGUUGUUGUUGUUAAGAGAUAGGGUCUCACUAUGUUACAAAGGCUGGUCUCAAACUCCUGGGCUCAAGAGAUCCUCCUGCUUUUGCUUCCCAAAGUGCUGGGAUUAAAGGCAUGAGCCACCAUACCCAGCCCUUUUAUAUAAUUUGAGUAAAAGUAAAAUAAUUACUAAAAAGCACUUAAUAGUCUAGAAAUAUCCACCAGAACUGGAUACCUAAAUUAUCUAUAUAGAGUAAACAUGGGUACUAAAUUAGACAACCCCAUCAACUUUAUGUUAAAUGGCCAAAUUGCCCUAAGCAAAGGGUAUCUGAACCAAGGGCCAGUGAUAGUCCUCUGUUAGAGGCAGUUUUGUGGUCUGAAGAGUUUCUCUAAAGGGCUGAGACUAUUCGGAAGAGGGAUCCUCUGUUACCAAAUCGUGCUAUUGAACCCUGAACACAAAGUACACAUAUAUGCCCUGCAUCUAGCCUUGAUAUUUCUUCUGCUCAAGUCAAAAGACUCCGGAAGCAACAGCUUCCACCUUCAAGCAAUCCAGACUCAAAAAGCCAUCAAAACUAAGAAUAGCAAAAGCUACCUUCUUGAUUCAGUGAAGUUGCUGCUAGCACUAAAAGAAAGAGAAAUUACACUUUUGUUCUUCAGAUAUGGUUAAAACAAAGAAAAUGUUGUCAACAUUGACACCAACAUAGACAUUUGCUCUAUAACAUAUAAACUGUCUUUUAGACAGGUUAUGUUAAAAAUAUCAGAAUGCCAUUUUUGUAAAGGAUCUUUUUUAGGAUAGACGUGGUCUCAUGCUUCCUUUGUUCACCUCCAUUUUAAAGGAGCAUUGUAACCCCUAUCCUCACCCCUACAAAAAUCCAGUGGAUGCACUUCCAAAUUACUUGUCAUUUUAUAUGUGUUAUGUUUAUUAUGAGCAAUUUUCACUGGAUGAUGAGAUACAUGGCGAUACUAUGUCAGUUUAUUCUCUGUGAAUGUGUUUGUACAUAGACAGGAAGCUAUUUAUUUGUACAUAGGCUGUUUGGAGUACGUACUUCUGUCUCACAUGGACUUCAUUCUGAUAAAGGGUGUUUCUUGUUGUUUCACUGUCCACACCUUUGUGCUUCUACUACUGAUAAUCAAUUCAUAGAAUAUCACUUUAUAUAACUAAGUCUCCUCAGUGUGAAAAAUAAUAGAAAUAAAAUUAUUGACUCAAA